GGACCAGAGUUCACUUCCUGUGUGGAUAACAGGAAGGAGGGAGGUGAAAAUUCAGGGAGACUUAAUCACUUCUUCAUUGCUUAUGAAAAGAGAGACUUGUGAACUUGCUUUGGGAGAGAGUUUGGAAAUCCUCAAAGGGGCUGUGACUCACACAAAGAAACAAAUGCUGGUGCUCUUCAUGCAUUCAUUUGGACCAGUGACACACAGUAUCAGAAUCCUACAUGCUUUAUUAUGAAGAUCCUUAACCUUAUAUGUGUGCUCUUCUGCAUAGCCUUUUUGUUUACUCCAGGAACUGGAAAUACAAUUAAAACAGAAAAAGAAUGUCACGCUGCUGAUGGCUAUUGCAAGAUGGGGGAAUGUUUAUAUCCUAAAUUUAAGCUCAUUGGAUUCUGUAGGAAAGUUUUUUAUUGCUGCAAAAAGAAUGUACAAAGGAACAAUAGGAUUGGCAUGAAUCAUAAAUUAAUGCAUGUGUGGUUGCGUAAGCGUAACAAUGAUAUGUUUGGGAGCAACUAGCUAUGUGAAAAUCACUGAAGGAAGUAUCAUGCAGUAAAAAAAUACAAACCUAAAAUUAAUGGUUGAAUGAUUCAGCUCUGGGUUUGAAUACCAAGAAAAAUAAUAAUUGGAACAGCAGCCACUAGAUUCAUUAUCAGAGCAUCUGUUUGUCUCC
Long non-coding RNA from Crotalus tigris (Tiger rattlesnake), 667 nucleotides. RefSeq lists it as uncharacterized. The transcript has 6 exons. The record is from RefSeq and is a predicted model, not a curated record. NCBI's taxonomy places the organism in Eukaryota, Metazoa, Chordata, Lepidosauria, Squamata, Viperidae.